AGUGAACGCUGGCGGUAGGCCUAACACAUGCAAGUCGAACGGCAGCACAGUAAGAGCUUGCUCUUACGGGUGGCGAGUGGCGGACGGGUGAGGAAUACAUCGGAAUCUACUUUUUCGUGGGGGAUAACGUAGGGAAACUUACGCUAAUACCGCAUACGCCCUACGGGUGAAAGCAGGGGAUCUUCGGACCUUGCGCGAUUGAAUGAGCCGAUGUCGGAUUAGCUAGUUGGCGGGGUAAAGGCCCACCAAGGCGACGAUCCGUAGCUGGUCUGAGAGGAUGAUCAGCCACACUGGAACUGAGACACGGUCCAGACUCCGACGGGAGGCAGCAGUGGGGAAUAUUGGACAAUGGGCGCAAGCCUGAUCCAGCCAUACCGCGUGGGUGAAGAAGGCCUUCGGGUUGUAAAGCCCUUUUGUUGGGAAAGAAAAGCAGCAGGUUAAUACCCCGCUGUUCUGACGGUACCCAAAGAAUAAGCACCGGCUAACUACGUG
RNAcentral lists this ribosomal RNA (492 nucleotides) under uncultured bacterium. RNAcentral describes it as "partial 16S ribosomal RNA". It matches the Rfam family "Bacterial small subunit ribosomal RNA", at positions 29 to 507 of the family's 1533-position model. The record is from RNAcentral.